AGAGCGACAGGGACAGGGCAGAAGCUCCUCAGGAGGCCUCCCCUCUUCAGACCUCUUUUGCGGGGUCGCCAGGGUCCCCAGCCCCAGGUGCAGGUCCUCCUGGGAGGAAGGGUGGCACCAGGGUACUGGAUGCUGGCAUCAGGAGAGCGGGUCUGAGCCACUCACUCCCUGCCUCAUUUCCCGCCACAGUGGCUUCCGGCAGGCACCGAGUCUGUGCGGGGAGAAUCUUACAUCCGCGAGUGCCCUCUGGACGCCACCUGGGGAAUGCGCUCCCUUUUCCCAAACGUCCCUCGGCUCCCACGUCGACCGCCCGUCCAGCAGUCCUGGCUACCCAACGCCACCACGUCCGGCACCUCAACUCACAUCUGGCGCCUCAACUGUCGCGUGGCGUCUCGUCAGGCAUGCCACAAGGUGGCGCCCCGAGGUUCCGCCGAGGGUCCUCUCCGGGGCGCCCGAGAGCGCGCAGGCGCCGGUGGCCUGGCCCGCGUGGGCUCCGAACCGCGGCGCCUUCGCCAGGCAGUAUAGGAAGCGACAGACAGCCGGGACCCACUGCCGUGGGCAGCCGGGCGUGGAGGAGGCAACGGCGAGUGUCGCGGUGUGGGCGAGCGGGCCGAGUGGUCCCCUCAGCCUCCGGACCCGGCCAUGCUGCGCUGGCUGCAGGACUUCCUGCUGGAGGCGGUGGCCUGCCAGGAUGACGAUGACUACUUACGCUACGGGAUCCUUUUCGAAGACCUGGACCGCAAUGGGGACGGCGUGGUGGACAUCAUCGAGCUCCAGGAGGGACUGAGAAACUGGAGCUCCGCGUUUUACCCGAACUCCGAUGAGGUGAGCAGUUUGCAGAAGAUUGGUCCUGUUGCUGUGCCAAAAGAGAGAAUGGGUGAUUUAACUAUUUAUUCAAAACAAAACAAAACAAACAAACAGACAAAACCUGGGGAGAUAAUGCAGCUUUGAGCGCUACAAUAUUGAGGCUUAUUCUUUGUUGUCAAAAAUUCUGAGGUUAUGGGGGAUCUUAUGAAGAUGUGUGACAGAUGACAGUCAUCUUGAGACACUUGAUCUCAAAGGUAAGAUAGCAAACACAGCUUCCUCACUUUCAGCAUAAUUUUAGAACACCUUUGUUUUCAAUAGAUUUGCUCACUGUUUUUCUUCUAGCUUACUUUUGGGGUCCUGUACUUCCUCCUGAUUUCUGUUUCUCUUCUUCUGCUGGCAGGAUUGCUCCCACCCACAACAAUCUCCAGGGCCCACAGAGCUGAGGAAAUAGUUGUCUGGUGGUGAGGCUGUCUUAUUUAAUAUAGGAGCUGCCCUACUGCUGCCAUGUCCCACUGGGACCUCUUAAAUCAUCUGUCCUCUUUAAAUCAUUAUUUCAUGUCAGCUCAUCUGUGUGGAUUAGGAGAAAGUUGGGUCAUUGAUAAAAUGCAUAACAAAACUCCCUCAUUUCUCCUAAAAUAGGAGGCAGUAUCUGUAAUCUUCAGGAAAACCUUUUUCAUCUGAGCUCUGAGAAGCUCCAACAUGGAAAGAAGAAGAGAUCAACUGAGGUUGAACUGCAAGAGCUGAAAGAAACCUACUCCAGACCCUCCAGAAUAUCCAAGUCACGAUCAAGAUUAUGGCUGACAGCAGGCUCUCAUGCAAAAUGAAGGCCCUGAAGGUGAAAAAUGAGCACAAUUCUUUAUAAAAGGGGAAGUAUUAGGAGAUUUGCUCAGGGCACUUACCUCUCUAAACUUAGUUUCUUCAUUUGAAAAUCAGGAUAAUAAUCUCAAGCUUGUAGUAGGGUUGAUAGAAUUAAGCAAGAGAACCUUUAUAAACGCUUUGAAAGGGUGCCUGACACAUAUCAGGCACUUAAUAAAAUUUUAAUUUUCUAGUUUUAAAAAAGACAGACUUUGACCUUGGAUACAAUAAUCAAAAAGCCUAGAGUUCUACUUACUCUAAAGAGAAGUCUUUACUUAGAAGCCAGCAUUUUCUAACUACGUCUCUGGUAAUAAUGUCUGAAUUGAUCUUUGGCUCUACUGUCUCCUAUUUUUUUUUUUUUUAUAGACAGAUUCUUGCUCCACUGCCCAGGUUGGAGUGCAGCGACACAAUCAUAGCUCACUGCAGCCUCCAACUAUUGAGCUAAAGUGAUUCUCCUUCCUCAGCCUCCUAGAUAGCUGGGACUCCACACAUGUGCCACGAUGCUAACUUUUAAUAUAUUUUUUUGUAGAGGCAGGGUCUCAAUUUGUUGACCAGGCUGGUCAUGAACUCCUAGCCUCAUGUGAUCCUCCCACCUAGACCUCUCAAAGGAUUUGAUCCACAGGAUUUGAGCCACCACACCUGGCCCUAUCUCUUCUUUCAAUGGU
Molecule: RNA transcript, 2327 nt
Organism: Cebus imitator (Panamanian white-faced capuchin)
Lineage: Eukaryota; Metazoa; Chordata; Mammalia; Primates; Cebidae
Gene name: calcium-binding mitochondrial carrier protein SCaMC-1-like
Exons: 4
Source: RefSeq, a predicted model, not a curated record